RNAcentral lists this non-coding RNA (30 nucleotides) under Mus musculus (house mouse). Lineage: Eukaryota; Metazoa; Chordata; Mammalia; Rodentia; Muridae. The record is from RNAcentral.
GGAAAUGGCUAGUUAAUUCCCUGAAUGCUC